Molecule: non-coding RNA, 1026 nt
Organism: Chlorocebus sabaeus (green monkey)
Lineage: Eukaryota; Metazoa; Chordata; Mammalia; Primates; Cercopithecidae
Source: RefSeq, a predicted model, not a curated record
CUGGUCUCAAACUCCUGACCUCAGGUGAUCCGCCUGCCUUGGCCUCCCAAAGUGCUGGGAUUACAGGCUUGAGCCACUGUGCCAGGCCAAGUAUAUUUUUAAUUAAUGUAUUCAUUAUAAUACAAUUUACUACAAAUUUGAGGGAGGAGGCUUUCCAUAUGGAGUUUAAGAUAUUCUUUUAAGAGAUGGGGGUCUUGCUAUGUUACUGAUAUGGUUUGGAUGUCUGUCACUUCCAAAUCUCACGUUGAAAUGUAAUCCCCAAUGUUGGAGGUAGGGCCUAGUGGGAGGUAUUGAAUCAUGGAGCAAAUCCUUCAUGAAUGGCUUGGCACCAUCACCUUAGUGAUGAGUGAGUUCUUAGUUCACGUGAAAUCUACUUGUUUAGAGUCUGGGACCUCCUCCUUCUCUCUCUUGCUGCUUCUCUCACCAUGUUACAUGCUCGCUCCCAUUUUGCCCUCUGCCACAAUUGUAAGCUUCCUGAGGCCCUCAUCAGAAGCAGCUGCUGGUGCCAUGCUUUGUGUACAGCCUGCAGAACGGAACAGACAUUCUCAAGCAAGCAAGAACUCAAGGAAUACAGGCACCCAUGAGCCACCUUUGGGAAAAGCAAAACAAUAAAGGCGACAACAAAAUGAAUUAAAGAAAGAAUUCAAAUGAAAAAAACAUUACCUCAGAAACGAAAAUUGAAGGACUGGUAAAAUGUUAAGGAAUAACUCCUUUUGUAGUAAAGAAAGAUUUAAUUGAAGUUAAAAGUGAAAUUCUUCCAAUUUUACUUUGAUUUCUUUUCAGCUAAUUUCAAGAAAAUUAAACUCUGGUAAAUAAAAACUGCAUGUACAGUAUGAUCUCAUUUUUGUUUGACUAUUCAGCCAUCUUGCUUUGCUCUCUGUAUAAAUGGAGAGAUGAUUAUGAUGUUUUAUCAAUACCUGUUUUGGGGUAGUGGGAUUUUAGGUAAUGUUAUACUUUCUUCCUCAUGUUCUUUUCUGUAUUGGUAGAAGUUUUUUUGGGGGGUGGGAUGGAGUCUCGCUCUGUCUC